UUAAAAGAAGUCGCACUGGUAAGUGAGUAAUUGCGUGUUUUUUUAUUAAAUAAAAAAUAUGUGCAAAUGCCAAAUUUGCGCAGUUUUUAACACUGCAACCAAAUAUAU
This 108-nucleotide microRNA precursor is filed under the name Oryza sativa Japonica Group (Japanese rice). Its description in RNAcentral is "mir-172 microRNA precursor". The record is from RNAcentral. Lineage: Eukaryota; Viridiplantae; Streptophyta; Magnoliopsida; Poales; Poaceae.